GUGCUAUUAGCUCAGCUGGAUAGAGUAUUUGGCUACGAACCAAAAGGUCGGGGGUUCGAAUCCCUCAUAGCACG
This 74-nucleotide transfer RNA is filed under the name Oscillospiraceae bacterium. Its description in RNAcentral is "tRNA-Arg". It matches the Rfam family "tRNA". From Rfam's summary of the family: Transfer RNA (tRNA) molecules are approximately 80 nucleotides in length. Their secondary structure includes four short double-helical elements and three loops (D, anti-codon, and T loops). Lineage: Bacteria; Bacillati; Bacillota; Clostridia; Eubacteriales; Oscillospiraceae. The record is from RNAcentral.